AGUGAACGCUGGCGGUAGGCCUAACACAUGCAAGUCGAACGGCAGCACAGUAAGGGCUUGCUCUUACGGGUGGCGAGUGGCGGACGGGUGAGGAAUACAUCGGAAUCUACUUUUUCGUGGGGGAUAACGUAGGGAAACUUACGCUAAUACCGCAUACGACCUACGGGUGAAAGCAGGGGAUCUUCGGACCUUGCGCGAUUGAAUGAGCCGAUGUCGGAUUAGCUAGUUGGCGGGGUAAAGGCCCACCAAGGCGACGAUCCGUAGCUGGUCUGAGAGGAUGAUCAGCCACACUGGAACUGAGACACGGUCCAGACUCCUACGGGAGGCAGCAGUGGGGAAUAUUGGACAAUGGGCGCAAGCCUGAUCCAGCCAUACCGCGUGGGUGAAGAAGGCCUUCGGGUUGUAAAGCCCUUUUGUUGGGAAAGAAAAGCAGCAGGUUAAUACCCCGCUGUCCUGACGGUACCCAAAGAAUAAGCACCGGCUAACUUCGUG
RNAcentral lists this ribosomal RNA (492 nucleotides) under uncultured bacterium. Its description in RNAcentral is "partial 16S ribosomal RNA". It matches the Rfam family "Bacterial small subunit ribosomal RNA", at positions 29 to 507 of the family's 1533-position model. The record is from RNAcentral.